RNAcentral lists this ribosomal RNA (208 nucleotides) under uncultured bacterium. RNAcentral's name for it is "partial 16S ribosomal RNA". It matches the Rfam family "Bacterial small subunit ribosomal RNA", at positions 1284 to 1500 of the family's 1533-position model. The record is from RNAcentral.
AGUCUUAGUUCGGAUUGUAGGCUGCAACUCGCCUACAUGAAGUCGGAAUUGCUAGUAAUCGCGGAUCAGCAUGCCGCGGUGAAUACGUUCCCGGGCCUUGUACACACCGCUCGUCACACCAUGGGAGCCGGGGGUGCCUGAAGUUCGUGACCGCAAGGAGCGACCUAGGGCAAAACUGGUGACUGGGGCUAAGUCGUAACAAGGUAUC